RNAcentral lists this ribosomal RNA (20 nucleotides) under Paracidovorax avenae. RNAcentral's name for it is "partial 23S ribosomal RNA". Lineage: Bacteria; Pseudomonadati; Pseudomonadota; Betaproteobacteria; Burkholderiales; Comamonadaceae. The record is from RNAcentral.
CAAGUGACUAAGAGCAUGUG